RNAcentral lists this transfer RNA (71 nucleotides) under Altica cirsicola. RNAcentral describes it as "tRNA-Lys". Lineage: Eukaryota; Metazoa; Arthropoda; Insecta; Coleoptera; Chrysomelidae. RNAcentral also lists the same sequence under 1 other name. The record is from RNAcentral.
CAUUAGGUGGCAGAAAGUUUGCAAUGAAAUUUUAACUCAUAAGAUAAUAAAUUAACGAUUAUUUCUAAUGG